GUGAGUCAUCGAAUCUUUGAACGCACCUUGCGCUCCUUGGUAUUCCGAGGAGCAUGCCUGUUUGAGUGUCAUUAAUAUAUCAACCUCCUCAGGUUUUGACUUGUCGAGUGUUUGGAUGUGGGGGUCUUUUGCUGGUCUCUUUUGAGGUCGGCUCCCCUAAAAUGCAUUAGCGGAACAAUUUGUUGACCCGUUCAUUGGUGUGAUAACUAUCUACGCUUUUGAGGUGAAACAGGUUCAGCUUCUAACAGUCCAUUAACUUGGACAAAUUUUCAUUAAUGUGACCUCAAAUCAGGUAGGACUACCCGCUGAACUUAAGCAUAUCA
Molecule: ribosomal RNA, 323 nt
Filed under: uncultured Cortinarius
Lineage: Eukaryota; Fungi; Basidiomycota; Agaricomycetes; Agaricales; Cortinariaceae
Description: eukaryotic LSU rRNA
Rfam family: 5.8S ribosomal RNA (bases 1-71)
Source: RNAcentral